AUUGAACGCUGGCGGCAUGCUUUACACAUGCAAGUCGAACGGUAACAGGCCUUCGGGUGCUGACGAGUGGCGAACGGGUGAGUAAUGCAUCGGAACGUACCCAGAGGUGGGGGAUAACGCAGCGAAAGCUGUGCUAAUACCGCAUGUGAUCUGAGGAUGAAAUCGGGGGACCGAGCAGCAAUGUUUGGCCUCGCGCCUUUGGAGCGGCCGAUGUCGGAUUAGCUAGUUGGUGGGGUAAGGGCCUACCAAGGCGACGAUCCGUAGCUGGUCUGAGAGGACGACCAGCCACACUGGGACUGAGACACGGCCCAGACUCCUACGGGAGGCAGCAGUGGGGAAUUUUGGACAAUGGGCGCAAGCCUGAUCCAGCAAUGCCGCGUGCGGGAAGAAGGCCUUCGGGUUGUAAACCGCUUUUGGCAGGAACGAAACGGUGUCCGCUAAUACCGGGCGCUAAUGACGGUACCUGCAGAAUAAGCACCGGCUAACUACGUG
RNAcentral lists this ribosomal RNA (492 nucleotides) under uncultured bacterium. RNAcentral describes it as "partial 16S ribosomal RNA". It matches the Rfam family "Bacterial small subunit ribosomal RNA", at positions 30 to 507 of the family's 1533-position model. The record is from RNAcentral.